GUGCCUAAUACAUGCAGUCGAACGAAGAAAUACCUUCGGGUAAAGUAAGAGUGGCGAACGGGUGAGUAACGCGUGGAUAAUCUGCCCUUCAGUGAGGGAUAACUUAUCGAAAGGUGAGCUAAUACCUUAUAAGACCACAAUGCGUAAAGCAUAGGGGUCAAAGAUUUAUCGCUGAUGGAUGAGUCUGCGUCCGAUUAGCUUGAUGGUGGGGUAAAGGCCUACCAUGGCUGUGAUCGGUAGCUGGUCUGAGAGGAUGAGCAGCCACACUGGAACUGAGACACGGUCCAGACUUCUACGGAAGGCAGCAGUAGGGAAUAUUGGUCAAUGGGGGAAACCCUGAACCAGCGACGUCGCGUGUGUGAUGAAGGCCUUAGGGUCGUAAAACACUGUGGUGCGAGACGAUUAUGACGGUAUCGCACUAGAAAGGACCGGCCAACUUCGUGCCAGCAGCCGCGGUAAGACGAGGGGUCCUAGCGUUGUUCGGAAUUACUGGGCAUAAAGCGGAUGUAGGUGGGUGUUCAAGUCAGAUGUGAAAUCCCAGAGCUAAACUCUGGAACUGCAUUUGAUACUGUUCAUCUUGAGUAUUUGAGGGGGUAGCAGAAUUCCUGAUGUAGUGGUGAAAUACGUAGAUAUCAGGAGGAAUACCUGUGGCGAAGGCGGCUACCUGGCGAAUUACUGACACUGAGAUCCGAAAGCGUGGGGAGCAAACAGGAUUUAGAUACCCUGGUAGUCCACGCCGUAUACUAUGAAACACUUGGUGUUGGGGAUAUUUGACCUCCUCAGUGCCGUAGUAAUGCGUUAAGUGUUCCGCCUGGGGAGUACGGUCGCAAGAUUAAAACUCAAAGAAAUUGACGGGGGCCCGCACAAGCGGUGGAGCAUGUGGUUUAAUUCGAUGCAACGCGAAGAACCUUACCUAGACUUAACAUCCCAGUGACAGCUGUAGAGAUACGGUUUUCCUUCGGGACAUUGGUGAUAGGUGCUGCAUGGCUGUCGUCAGCUCGUGUCGUGAGAUGUUGGGUUAAGUCCCGCAACGAGCGCAACCCUUGCCUUUAGUUGCCAGCAUUUAGUUGGGCACUCAAAAAGGACUGCCGACGUUAAGUCGGAGGAAGGUGGGGAUGACGUCAAGUCCUCAUGGCCUUUAUGUCUAGGGCUACACACGUGCUACAAUGGUCGAUACAAAGGGCUUGCAAAACCGCAAGGUCAAGCUAAUCCCAAAAAAUCGAUCUAAGUUCGGAUUGGAGUCUGCAACUCGACUCCAUGAAGUCGGAAUCGCUAGUAAUCGCAUAACAGCAUGAUGCGGUGAAUACGUUCCCGGGCCUUGUACACACCGCCCGUCACACCAUGAAAGCUGGUGGGACCAGACGUCGUUUUCGCUAACCUUUUAGGAGGCGGACGCCC
Molecule: ribosomal RNA, 1398 nt
Filed under: uncultured delta proteobacterium
Lineage: Bacteria; Deltaproteobacteria
Description: 16S ribosomal RNA
Rfam family: Bacterial small subunit ribosomal RNA
Source: RNAcentral